AUUGAACGCUGGCGGCAGGCCUAACACAUGCAAGUCGAACGCGUGGCGGACGGGUGAGUAAUGUCUGGGACACUGCCUGAUGGAGGGGGCUAACUACUGGAAACGGUAGCUAAUACCGCAUACCAUCAGAUGUGCCCAGAUGGGAUUAGCUAGUUGGUGGGGUAACGGCUCACAAAGGCGACGACCCCUAGCUGGUCUGAGAGGAUGACCAGCAACACUGGAACUGAGACACGGUCCAGACUCCUACGGGAGGCAGCAGUGGGGAAUAGUGCACAAUGGGCGCAAGCCUGAUGCAGCCAUGCCGCGUGUAGGAAGAAGGCCUUCGGGUUGUAAAGUACUUUCAGCGGGGAGGCGUUACCCGCAGAAGAAGCACCGGCUAACUCCGUGCCAGCAGCCGCGGUAAUUC
This 406-nucleotide ribosomal RNA is filed under the name uncultured bacterium. RNAcentral describes it as "partial 16S ribosomal RNA". It matches the Rfam family "Bacterial small subunit ribosomal RNA", at positions 30 to 526 of the family's 1533-position model. The record is from RNAcentral.